Molecule: ribosomal RNA, 445 nt
Filed under: uncultured bacterium
Lineage: Bacteria
Description: partial 16S ribosomal RNA
Rfam family: Bacterial small subunit ribosomal RNA
Source: RNAcentral
GUGAGGAAUAUUGGUCAAUGGGCGGGAGCCUGAACCAGCCAAGUCGCGUGAAGGAAGAAGGAUCUAUGGUUCGUAAACUUCUUUUGCAGGGGAAUAAAGUGCGGGACGUGUCCUGUUUUGUAUGUACCCUGAGAAUAAGGAUCGGCUAACUCCGUGCCAGCAGCCGCGGUAAUACGGAGGAUCCGAGCGUUAUCCGGAUUUAUUGGGUUUAAAGGGUGCGUAGGUGGUUUGAUAAGUCAGCGGUGAAAGUUUGCAGCUUAACUGUAAAAAUGCCGUUGAAACUGUCGGACUUGAGUGUAAAUGAGGUAGGCGGAAUGCGUGGUGUAGCGGUGAAAUGCAUAGAUAUCACGCAGAACUCCGAUUGCGAAGGCAGCUUACUAAGCUACAACUGACACUGAAGCACGAAAGCGUGGGGAUCAAACAGGAUUAGAAACCCGCGUAGUCC